GGGUUGUGAGGUUAAGCGACUAAGCGUACACGGUGGAUGCCCUGGCAGUCAGAGGCGAUGAAGGACGUGCUAAUCUGCGAAAAGCGUCGGUAAGGUGAUAUGAACCGUUAUAACCGGCGAUGUCCGAAUGGGGAAACCCAGUGCAAUUCGUUGCACUAUCGUUAACUGAAUACAUAGGUUAACGAGGCGAACCGGGGGAACUGAAACAUCUAAGUACCCCGAGGAAAAGAAAUCAACCGAGAUUCCCCCAGUAGCGGCGAGCGAACGGGGAGCAGCCCAGAGUCUGAAUCAGCUUGUGUGUUAGUGGAACGGUCUGGAAAGUCCGACGGUACAGGGUGAUAGUCCCGUACACCAAAAUGCACAGGCUGUGAACUCGAAGAGUAGGGCGGGACACGUGGUAUCCUGUCUGAAUAUGGGGGGACCAUCCUCCAAGGCUAAAUACUCCUGACUGACCGAUAGUGAACCAGUACCGUGAGGGAAAGGCGAAAAGAACCCCGGCGAGGGGAGUGAAAAAGAACCUGAAACCGUGUACGUACAAGCAGUGGGAGCACCCUUUAGGGUGUGACUGCGUACCUUUUGUAUAAUGGGUCAGCGACUUAUAUUCUGUAGCAAGGUUAACCGUAUAGGGGAGCCGCAGGGAAACCGAGUCUUAACUGGGCGUUAAGUUGCAGGGUAUAGACCCGAAACCCGGUGAUCUAGCCAUGGGCAGGUUGAAGGUUGGGUAACACUAACUGGAGGACCGAACCGACUAAUGUUGAAAAAUUAGCGGAUGACUUGUGGCUGGGGGUGAAAGGCCAAUCAAACCGGGAGAUAGCUGGUUCUCCCCGAAAGCUAUUUAGGUAGCGCCUCGUGAACUCAUCUUCGGGGGUAGAGCACUGUUUCGGCUAGGGGGUCAUCCCGACUUACCAACCCGAUGCAAACUACGAAUACCGAAGAAUGUUAUCACGGGAGACACACGGCGGGUGCUAACGUCCGUCGUGAAGAGGGAAACAACCCAGACCGCCAGCUAAGGUCCCAAAGUCACAGUUAAGUGGGAAACGAUGUGGGAAGGCACAGACAGCCAGGAUGUUGGCUUAGAAGCAGCCAUCAUUUAAAGAAAGCGUAAUAGCUCACUGGUCGAGUCGGCCUGCGCGGAAGAUGUAACGGGGCUAAACUGUGCACCGAAGCUGCGGCAGCGACACUAUGUGUUGUUGGGUAGGGGAGCGUUCUGUAAGCCUGCGAAGGUGGCCUGUGAGGGUUGCUGGAGGUAUCAGAAGUGCGAAUGCUGACAUAAGUAACGAUAAUGCGGGUGAAAAGCCCGCACGCCGGAAGACCAAGGGUUCCUGUCCAACGUUAAUCGGGGCAGGGUGAGUCGACCCCUAAGGCGAGGCCGAAAGGCGUAGUCGAUGGGAAACAGGUUAAUAUUCCUGUACUUGGUGUUACUGCGAAGGGGGGACGGAGAAGGCUAUGUUAGCCGGGCGACGGUUGUCCCGGUUUAAGCAUGUAGGCGGAGGUUCCAGGUAAAUCCGGUACCUUAUUAACGCUGAGGUGUGAUGACGAGGCACUACGGUGCUGAAGUAACAAAUGCCCUGCUUCCAGGAAAAGCCUCUAAGCAUCAGGUAACAUUAAAUCGUACCCCAAACCGACACAGGUGGUCAGGUAGAGAAUACCAAGGCGCUUGAGAGAACUCGGGUGAAGGAACUAGGCAAAAUGGUGCCGUAACUUCGGGAGAAGGCACGCUGAUAUGUAGGUGAAGUCCCUGCGGAUGGAGCUGAAAUCAGUCGAAGAUACCAGCUGGCUGCAACUGUUUAUUAAAAACACAGCACUGUGCAAACACGAAAGUGGACGUAUACGGUGUGACGCCUGCCCGGUGCCGGAAGGUUAAUUGAUGGGGUUAUCCGUAAGGAGAAGCUCUUGAUCGAAGCCCCGGUAAACGGCGGCCGUAACUAUAACGGUCCUAAGGUAGCGAAAUUCCUUGUCGGGUAAGUUCCGACCUGCACGAAUGGCGUAAUGAUGGCCAGGCUGUCUCCACCCGAGACUCAGUGAAAUUGAACUCGCUGUGAAGAUGCAGUGUACCCGCGGCAAGACGGAAAGACCCCGUGAACCUUUACUAUAGCUUGACACUGAACAUUGAGCCUUGAUGUGUAGGAUAGGUGGGAGGCUUUGAAGCGUGGACGCCAGUCUGCGUGGAGCCAACCUUGAAAUACCACCCUUUAAUGUUUGAUGUUCUAACGUUGGCCCCUAAUCGGGGUUGCGGACAGUGUCUGGUGGGUAGUUUGACUGGGGCGGUCUCCUCCCAAAGAGUAACGGAGGAGCACGAAGGUUAGCUAAUCCUGGUCGGACAUCAGGAGGUUAGUGCAAUGGCAUAAGCUAGCUUGACUGCGAGCGUGACGGCGCGAGCAGGUGCGAAAGCAGGUCAUAGUGAUCCGGUGGUUCUGAAUGGAAGGGCCAUCGCUCAACGGAUAAAAGGUACUCCGGGGAUAACAGGCUGAUACCGCCCAAGAGUUCAUAUCGACGGCGGUGUUUGGCACCUCGAUGUCGGCUCAUCACAUCCUGGGGCUGAAGUAGGUCCCAAGGGUAUGGCUGUUCGCCAUUUAAAGUGGUACGCGAGCUGGGUUUAGAACGUCGUGAGACAGUUCGGUCCCUAUCUGCCGUGGGCGCUGGAGAAUUGAGGGGGGCUGCUCCUAGUACGAGAGGACCGGAGUGGACGCAUCACUGGUGUUCGGGUUGUCAUGCCAAUGGCAUUGCCCGGUAGCUAAAUGCGGAAGAGAUAAGUGCUGAAAGCAUCUAAGCACGAAACUUGCCCCGAGAUGAGUUCUCCCUGAGACUUUAAGUCUCCUGAAGGAACGUUAAAGACGAUGACGUUGAUAGGUCGGGUGUGUAAGCGUAGCGAUACGUUGAGCUAACCGAUACUAAUGAACCGUGAGGCUUAACCUUACAACACCGAAGGUGUUU
RNAcentral lists this ribosomal RNA (2934 nucleotides) under Klebsiella aerogenes. RNAcentral's name for it is "23S ribosomal RNA". It matches the Rfam family "Bacterial large subunit ribosomal RNA". The record is from RNAcentral. Lineage: Bacteria; Pseudomonadati; Pseudomonadota; Gammaproteobacteria; Enterobacterales; Enterobacteriaceae.